RNAcentral lists this ribosomal RNA (369 nucleotides) under uncultured organism. Its description in RNAcentral is "bacterial SSU rRNA". It matches the Rfam family "Bacterial small subunit ribosomal RNA", at positions 526 to 896 of the family's 1533-position model. The record is from RNAcentral.
CAGAGGGUGCAAGCGUUAUCCGGAUUUAUUGGGCGUAAAGCGUUUCGUAGGUGGUUUUGUAAGUUAAACUUCAAAGACUAGGGCUUAACCCGAGGAAGGGGUUUAAUACUGCAGAACUUGAGAAUUUUAGGGGCAAUCGGAACUGUUGGUGUAGGGGUGAAAUCCGUUGAUAUCAACAGGAACGUCAAGGGCGUAGGCAGAUUGCUGGGAAAUUUCUGACACUGAGGAACGAAAGCUAGGGGAGCGAAAGGGAUUAGAGACCCCUGUAGUCCUAGCUGUAAACUUUGCCUGCUAGAGAUCGGACCUUUGGUUCGGUUUCGUAAGCUAACGCGUUAAGCGGGCCGCCUGGGGAGUACGAACGCAAGUUUA